RNAcentral lists this long non-coding RNA (561 nucleotides) under Bos indicus x Bos taurus (hybrid cattle). RNAcentral describes it as "lncRNA (ENSBIXG00000002399.1)". The record is from RNAcentral. Lineage: Eukaryota; Metazoa; Chordata; Mammalia; Artiodactyla; Bovidae.
UGUCUAUGACAGCCCUGGAGACAGAGUUGCUGACCAGAAUCGGAAAGGAGGGUGCAGGCGGUGAACAUGCAGAGCCCCGUUCCUCGGUUUUUCCGUAGACACUGAGCACUCUGGGGGCUCUUGGCCCCCCAGCCCUCACUCCGGCCAAGGCGGUCUCUGGAGGCAGCCCUGAUGGGACCAGCGCAUCUCAUCAACCCAGAAUUCAGAACCCUGAACUUCACUUCACUUGCCUGUGUCUGUAAUCCCUACAGACACCUCCGGGGAAGAAGAACUUCCCUCGACCGCGGGGACUCGCCCAACCUGGGAACCUCUGGGGCCCGAGAGCCAAGAAAGACCCCCUUCCUUGCUCUUUUCCCGGGGAUGCAGAAGUCAGCUAGGGCCCAGGGCUGGUUCGCGCGCUCCCCCUGCUGGAAACCGCCUGUCGGGCUCAGAGGCGCAGGGCAGCGGCUGGGGUACCUUGGGCCGGGAGGUUCUGAGGCUCGAACCGGGGCCAGGACCGAAGCCUGCGCGGCUCCCGGUUCUUCAUCCCGCGGUGCGACAUUCCGAAGUGGGACAUGCUAA